RNAcentral lists this ribosomal RNA (253 nucleotides) under uncultured bacterium. Its description in RNAcentral is "partial 16S ribosomal RNA". It matches the Rfam family "Bacterial small subunit ribosomal RNA", at positions 524 to 776 of the family's 1533-position model. The record is from RNAcentral.
UACGUAGGUGGCAAGCGUUGUCCGGAAUUACUGGGUGUAAAGCGCGUGUAGGCGGCAGGCCAAGUCUGCGGUGAAAGCGCCCGGCUCAACUGGGCGAGGUCCGUGGAAACUGGUCAGCUGGAGGACGGUAGAGGAGAAUGGAAUUCCUGGUGUAGCGGUGAAAUGCGCAGAUAUCAGGAAGAACACCCGUGGCGAAGGCGGUUCUCUGGGACGGUACUGACGCUGAGACGCGAAAGCGUGGGGAGCGAUCCGG